CCGCGGUAUUUUAACCGUGCAAAGGUAGCAUAAUCAUUAGUUUUUUAAUUGAAGGCUUGUAUGAAUGAUUGGACGAGAUAUAAGCUGUUUCAUAUAAAAUUGAAUAGAAUUUUAUUUUUUAGUUAAAAAGCUAAAAUAAGUUUAAAAGACGAGAAGACCCUAUAGAUCUUAAUAAUUUAUAUAUUUUAUUUAUAUAGAAAAUUUUAAAUAUUAUAAUUAUAAUUAUUUUGUUGGGGUGACAAUAAAAUUUAGUAAACUUUUAUAUUUAAUUUACAUGAAUUAAUGAAUAAUUGAUCCAUUUUUAAUGAUUAAUAAAUUAAGUUACCUUAGGGAUAACAGCGUAAUUUUUUUAGAGAGUUCAUAUCGAUAAAAAAGUUUGCGACCUCGAUGUUGGAUUAAG
RNAcentral lists this ribosomal RNA (400 nucleotides) under Chrysops viduatus. Its description in RNAcentral is "partial 16S ribosomal RNA". The record is from RNAcentral. Lineage: Eukaryota; Metazoa; Arthropoda; Insecta; Diptera; Tabanidae.